AACUAGUGUCAUCAUAUAAACAGUUAGUGGAUAGCAUGUGGUGAACAAGAUCCAUGCAAAAAAAACUUGUCCACAAGGGGCAAAAUACUGAAAAUUUUGCAGAGGAUCAGAAGACACCAAAUUUGAGAAAAGAAAGAAAGAAACAAGCUAAUUGGGUGUGGAUGGCAUUACAUGAGAAUUAAACUUUACACGCAAUCAGUUUUU
RNAcentral lists this unclassified non-coding RNA (204 nucleotides) under Hevea brasiliensis (rubber tree). The record is from RNAcentral. Lineage: Eukaryota; Viridiplantae; Streptophyta; Magnoliopsida; Malpighiales; Euphorbiaceae.